UCCGUAGGUGAACCUGCGGAAGGAUCAUUACCGAGUGUAGGGUUCCUAGCGAGCCCAACCUCCCACCCGUGUUUACUGUAACCUUAGUUGCUUCGGCGGGCCCGCCGUUUACGGCCGCCGGGGGGCAUCAGCCCCCGGGCCCGCGCCCGCCGGAGACACCACGAACUCUGUCUGAUCUAGUGAAGUCUGAGUUGAUUGUAUCGCAAUCAGUUAAAACUUUCAACAAUGGAUCUCUUGGUUCCGGCAUCGAUGAAGAACGCAGCGAAAUGCGAUAACUAGUGUGAAUUGCAGAAUUCCGUGAAUCAUCGAGUCUUUGAACGCACAUUGCGCCCCCUGGUAUUCCGGGGGGCAUGCCUGUCCGAGCGUCAUUGCUGCCCAUCAAGCACGGCUUGUGUGUUGGGUCGUCGUCCCCUCUCCGGGGGGGACGGGCCCCAAAGGCAGCGGCGGCACCGCGUCCGAUCCUCGAGCGUAUGGGGCUUUGUCACCCGCUCUGUAGGCCCGGCCGGCGCUUGCCGAACGCAAAACAACCAUUCUUUCCAGGUUGACCUCGGAUCAGGUAGGGAUACCCGCUGAACUUAAGCAUAUCAAUAAGCGGAGG
This 598-nucleotide ribosomal RNA is filed under the name Aspergillus pseudotamarii. Its description in RNAcentral is "eukaryotic LSU rRNA". The stretch from base 215 to 368 matches the Rfam family "5.8S ribosomal RNA". Lineage: Eukaryota; Fungi; Ascomycota; Eurotiomycetes; Eurotiales; Aspergillaceae. The record is from RNAcentral.